RNAcentral lists this ribosomal RNA (448 nucleotides) under uncultured bacterium. RNAcentral's name for it is "partial 16S ribosomal RNA". It matches the Rfam family "Bacterial small subunit ribosomal RNA", at positions 329 to 794 of the family's 1533-position model. The record is from RNAcentral.
UCCCAGACUCCUACGGGAGGCAGCAGUGGGGAAUAUUGCACAAUGGGGGAAACCCUGAUGCAGCGACGCCGCGUGAGUGAAGAAGUAUUUCGGUAUGUAAAGCUCUAUCAGCAGGGAAGAAAAUGACGGUACCUGACUAAGAAGCCCCGGCUAACUACGUGCCAGCAGCCGCGGUAAUACGUAGGGGGCAAGCGUUAUCCGGAUUUACUGGGUGUAAAGGGAGCGUAGACGGCCAGACAAGUCAGAAGUGAAAGCCCAGGGCUCAACCCUGGGACUGCUUUUGAAACUGCCGGGCUGGAGUGCAGGAGAGGUAAGCGGAAUUCCUGGUGUAGCGGUGAAAUGCGUAGAUAUCAGGAGGAACACCUGUGGCGAAGGCGGCUUACUGGACGAUGACUGACGCUGAGGCUCGAAAGCGUGGGGAGCAAACAGGAUUAGAUACCCUUGUAAC